ACGGGUGAGUAACGCGUGGGUAACCUGCCUCAUACAGGGGGAUAACAGUUAGAAAUGACUGCUAAUACCGCAUAAGCGCACAGUGCUGCAUAGCACAGUGUGAAAAACUCCGGUGGUAUGAGAUGGACCCGCGUCUGAUUAGGUAGUUGGUGAGGUAAUGGCCCACCAAGCCGACGAUCAGUAGCCGACCUGAGAGGGUGACCGGCCACAUUGGGACUGAGACACGGCCCAAACUCCUACGGGAGGCAGCAGUGGGGAAUAUUGGACAAUGGGGGAAACCCUGAUCCAGCGACGCCGCGUGAGUGAAGAAGUGUUUCGGCAUGUAAAGCUCUAUCAGCAGGGAAGAAAAUGACGGUACCUGACUAAGAAGCCCCGGCUAACUACGUGCCAGCAGCCGCGGUAAUACGUAGGGGGCAAGCGUUAUCCGGAUUUACUGGGUGUAAAGGGAGCGUAGACGGCUCUGCAAGUCUGGAGUGAAAGCCCGGGGCUCAACCCCGGGACUGCUUUGGAAACUGUGGAGCUAGAGUGCAGGAGAGGUAAGUGGAAUUCCUAGU
RNAcentral lists this ribosomal RNA (554 nucleotides) under uncultured bacterium. RNAcentral describes it as "bacterial SSU rRNA". It matches the Rfam family "Bacterial small subunit ribosomal RNA", at positions 102 to 674 of the family's 1533-position model. The record is from RNAcentral.